UACGUAGGUGGCAAGCGUUGUCCGGAUUUACUGGGCGUAAAGAGCGCGCAGGCGGUCGUUCAAGUCGAGUGUGAAAGCCCCCGGCUCAACUGGGGAGGGUCACUCGAUACUGAUCGACUCGAAGGCAGAGGAGGGAAGCGGAAUUCCCGGUGUAGUGGUGAAAUGCGUAGAUAUCGGGAGGAACACCAGUGGCGAAGGCGGCUUUCUGGUCUGCUCUUGACGCUGAGGCGCGAAAGCUAGGGUAGCAAACGGG
This 253-nucleotide ribosomal RNA is filed under the name uncultured bacterium. RNAcentral's name for it is "partial 16S ribosomal RNA". It matches the Rfam family "Bacterial small subunit ribosomal RNA", at positions 524 to 776 of the family's 1533-position model. The record is from RNAcentral.